RNAcentral lists this ribosomal RNA (421 nucleotides) under uncultured bacterium. RNAcentral's name for it is "bacterial SSU rRNA". It matches the Rfam family "Bacterial small subunit ribosomal RNA", at positions 359 to 772 of the family's 1533-position model. The record is from RNAcentral.
GAAUAUUGGACAAUGGGCGCAAGCCUGAUCCAGCCAUGCCGCGUGUGUGAAGAAGGCCUUCGGGUUGUAAAGCACUUUUGUACGGGAAGAAAAGGCGCCGGAUAAUACCUGGCGCCGCUGACGGUACCUGCAGAAUAAGCACCGGCUAACUACGUGCCAGCAGCCGCGGUAAUACGUAGGGUGCAAGCGUUAAUCGGAAUUACUGGGCGUAAAGCGUGCGCAGGCGGUUCGGAAAGAAAGGUGUGAAAUCCCAGGGCUUAACCUUGGAACUGCACUUUUAACUACCGGGCUAGAGUAUGUCAGAGGGGGGUAGAAUUCCACGUGUAGCAGUGAAAUGCGUAGAGAUGUGGAGGAAUACCGAUGGCGAAGGCAGCCCCCUGGGAUAAUACUGACGCUCAUGCACGAAAGCGUGGGGAGCAAA